This 497-nucleotide ribosomal RNA is filed under the name uncultured bacterium. RNAcentral describes it as "partial 16S ribosomal RNA". It matches the Rfam family "Bacterial small subunit ribosomal RNA", at positions 28 to 507 of the family's 1533-position model. The record is from RNAcentral.
GAUGAACGCUGGCGGCGUGCCUAAUACAUGCAAGUCGAGCGAACAGACGAGGAUCUUGCUCCUUCGACGUUAGCGGCGGACGGGUGAGUAACACGUAGGUAACCUACCUAUAAGACUGGGAUAACUUCGGGAAACCGGAGCUCAUACCGGAUAAUAUUUCGAACCGCAUGGUUCGAUAGUGAAAGAUGGCUUUGCUAUCACUUAUAGAUGGACCUGCGCCGUAUUAGCUAGUUGGUAAGGUAACGGCUUACCAAGGCAACGAUACGUAGCCGACCUGAGAGGGUGAUCGGCCACACUGGAACUGAGACACGGUCCAGACUCCUACGGGAGGCAGCAGUAGGGAAUCGUCCGCAAUGGGCGAAAGCCUGACGGAGCAACGCCGCGUGAGUGAUGAAGGUCUUCGGAUCGUAAAACUCUGUUAUUAGGGAAGAACAAACGUGUAAGUAACUGUGCACGUCUUGACGGUACCUAAUCAGAAGGCCACGGCUAACUACGUG